This 1329-nucleotide ribosomal RNA is filed under the name uncultured Aeromonas sp. RNAcentral's name for it is "bacterial SSU rRNA". It matches the Rfam family "Bacterial small subunit ribosomal RNA", at positions 52 to 1367 of the family's 1533-position model. The record is from RNAcentral. Lineage: Bacteria; Pseudomonadati; Pseudomonadota; Gammaproteobacteria; Aeromonadales; Aeromonadaceae.
CACAUGCAAGUCGAGCGGCAGCGGGAAAGUAGCUUGCUACUUUUGCCGGCGAGCGGCGGACGGGUGAGUAAUGCCUGGGGAUCUACCCAGUCGAGGGGGAUAACAGUUGGAAACGACUGCUAAUACCGCAUACGCCUUACGGGGGAAAGGAGGGGACCUUCGGGCCUUUCGCGAUUGGAUGAACCCAGGUGGGAUUAGCUAGUUGGUGAGGUAAUGGCUCACCAAGGCGACGAUCCCUAGCUGGUCUGAGAGGAUGAUCAGCCACACUGGAACUGAGACACGAGUCCAGACUCCUACGGGAGGCAGCAGUGGGGAAUAUUGCACAAUGGGGGAAACCCUGAUGCAGCCAUGCCGCGUGUGUGAAGAAGGCCUUCGGGUUGUAAAGCACUUCCAGCGAGGAGGAAAGGUUGAUGCCUAAUACGCAUCAACUGUGAUGUUACUCGCAGAAGAAGCACCGGCUAACUCCGUGCCAGCAGCCGCGGAAAUACGGAGGGUGCAAGCGUUAAUCGGAAUUACUGGGCGUAAAGCGCACGCAGGCGGUUGGAUAAGUUAGAUGUGAAAGCCCCGGGCUCAACCUGGGAAUUGCAUUUAAAACUGUCCAGCUAGAGUCUUGUAGAGGGGGGUAGAAUUCCAGGUGUAGCGGUGAAAUGCGUAGAGAUCUGGAGGAAUACCGGUGGCGAAGGCGGCCCCCUGGACAAAGACUGACGCUCAGGUGCGAAAGCGUGGGGAGCAAACAGGAUUAGGUACCCUGGUAGUCCACGCCGUAAACGAUGUCGAUUUGGAGGCUGUGUCCUUGAGACGUGGCUUCCGGAGCUAACGCGUUAAAUCGACCGCCUGGGGAGUACGGCCGCAAGGUUAAAACUCAAAUGAAUUGACGGGGGCCCGCACAAGCGGUGGAGCAUGUGGUUUAAUUCGAUGCAACGCGAAGAACCUUACCUGGCCUUGACAUGUCUGGAAUCCUGCAGAGGUGCGGGAGUGCCUUCGGGAAUCAGAACACAGGUGCUGCAUGGCUGUCGUCAGCUCGUGUCGUGAGGUGUUGGGUUAAGUCCCGCAACGAGCACAACCCCUGUCCUUUGUUGCCAGCACGUAAUGGUGGGAACUCAAGGGCGACUGCCGGUGAUAAGCCGGAGGAAGGUGGGGAUGACGUCAAGUCAUCAUGGCCCUUACGGCCAGGGCUACACACGUGCUACAAUGGCGCGUACAGAGGGCUGCAAGCUAGCGAUAGUGAGCGAAUCCCAAAAAGCGCGUCGUAGUCCGCAUCGGAGUCUGCAUCUCGACUCCGUGAAGUCGGAAUCGCUAGUAAUCGCGAAUCAGAAUGUCGCGGUGAAU